UUUUUUUGUAUGAAUACUCUUUAGAUCCUUUUCAGUUGAUAUCAAUCCAAACUUUAAUCAUGAGUCGAUCACAAUGUUGUUGAAGUACAUAAAACAAGA
This 99-nucleotide small RNA is filed under the name Arabidopsis thaliana (thale cress). RNAcentral describes it as "ATSL150310". The record is from RNAcentral. Lineage: Eukaryota; Viridiplantae; Streptophyta; Magnoliopsida; Brassicales; Brassicaceae.